UUGUUUUGGCAGAUUAGUGCAUUAAAUUUAGAAUUUAAUUAAGUAUUUAUAUUAGUACAGGCAAUA
This 66-nucleotide transfer RNA is filed under the name Bolbocerinae sp. BM677840. Its description in RNAcentral is "tRNA-Leu". The record is from RNAcentral. Lineage: Eukaryota; Metazoa; Arthropoda; Insecta; Coleoptera; Geotrupidae.